Long non-coding RNA from Syngnathoides biaculeatus (alligator pipefish), 778 nucleotides. RefSeq lists it as uncharacterized. NCBI's taxonomy places the organism in Eukaryota, Metazoa, Chordata, Actinopteri, Syngnathiformes, Syngnathidae. The record is from RefSeq and is a predicted model, not a curated record. The transcript has 3 exons.
UGGCGCACCUGGAAAUUAAGAAAUAUUUUGAAAUUUUUAUAUUUAAUGUGAUGUUAAAAUAGGCGGCAAAGUGGCGCAGAUGGAAAGCGUUGUCCUCAAGAGUUCUGAAGUUGCGGGUUCAAUCCUGGCCCCGCCUGUGUAGGGUUUGCAUGUUCUCCCCGUGCCUGCGUGGGUUUUCUCCGGGCGCUCCGGUUUCCUCCUACAUCCCAAAACCAUGCAACCUUAAUUAGACGCUCUAAAUUGCCCAUAGGUGUGAUUGUGAAUGCGGCUGUUUGUCUCCAAGUGCCCUGCGAUUGGCUGGUGACCAGUUCAGGGUGUAACCCGCCUCCUCCCCCUUUACGGCUGGGGUGGGCUCCAGCGCUCCCCGCGACUCUUGGUCCCCACCAGUGUCAGCACCUCCACUAUGUAGCAACGUCGCCUCGGAUGUAGUUUUCGCCCAUGAUGUCACGCGCGAGCUACAUUUUUGACAGACAAUUUCCCCGCCGCACAGAUAAGAGACUUGAAAAGGGAGACGGGGCAAGAUGAAUGCUGUGCAGGUGAGAAAAUGGGGCUUUUUUUUGGGAAAAUAUUCAACAUUCCGCAGAUGAUAUUAUAGAUAGGAGGAGGAGACGGGCGGCGCUGAAUGAAGUGGACUAAAUUACAUGUCACGCAGCGGCGUUAUGAUUAGCUGCCGUCAGGCUCCGGAGUGAAUAAAACGCGAUAAAAUAGGCUAGCGCUGAUACAGAAAUUCACUCGCGCUCUCGUCUCUUAAGCAAGAAGGAUGGCAAACCGUCGGCAC